GCAGUCGAGCGAACAGAUAAGGAGCUUGCUCCUUUGACGUUAGCGGCGGACGGGUGAGUAACACGUGGGUAACCUACCUAUAAGACUGGGAUAACUUCGGGAAACCGGAGCUAAUACCGGAUAACAUUUGGAACCGCAUGGUUCUAAAGUGAAAGAUGGUUUUGCUAUCACUUAUAGAUGGACCCGCGCCGUAUUAGCUAGUUGGUAAGGUAACGGCUUACCAAGGCGACGAUACGUAGCCGACCUGAGAGGGUGAUCGGCCACACUGGAACUGAGACACGGUCCAGACUCCUACGGGAGGCAGCAGUAGGGAAUCUUCCGCAAUGGGCGAAAGCCUGACGGAGCAACGCCGCGUGAGUGAUGAAGGGUUUCGGCUCGUAAAACUCUGUUAUUAGGGAAGAACAAAUGUGUAAGUAACUGUGCACNUCUUGACGGUACCUAAUCAGAAAGCCACGGCUAACUACGUGCCAGCAGCCGCGGUAAUACGUAGGUGGCAAGCGUUAUCCGGAAUUAUUGGGCGUAAAGCGCGCGUAGGCGGUUUCUUAAGUCUGAUGUGAAAGCCCACGGCUCAACCGUGGAGGGUCAUUGGAAACUGGGAAACUUGAGUGCAGAAGAGGAAAGUGGAAUUCCAUGUGUAGCGGUGAAAUGCGCAGAGAUAUGGAGGAACACCAGUGGCGAAGGCGACUUUCUGGUCUGUAACUGACGCUGAUGUGCGAAAGCGUGGGGAUCAAACAGGAUUAGAUACCCUGGUAGUCCACGCCGUAAACGAUGAGUGCUAAGUGUUAGGGGGUUUCCGCCCCUUAGUGCUGCAGCUAACGCAUUAAGCACUCCGCCUGGGGAGUACGACCGCAAGGUUGAAACUCAAAGGAAUUGACGGGGACCCGCACAAGCGGUGGAGCAUGUGGUUUAAUUCGAAGCAACGCGAAGAACCUUACCAAAUCUUGACAUCCUUUGAAAACUCUAGAGAUAGAGCCUUCCCCUUCGGGGGACAAAGUGACAGGUGGUGCAUGGUUGUCGUCAGCUCGUGUCGUGAGAUGUUGGGUUAAGUCCCGCAACGAGCGCAACCCUUAAGCUUAGUUGCCAUCAUUAAGUUGGGCACUCUAGGUUGACUGCCGGUGACAAACCGGAGGAAGGUGGGGAUGACGUCAAAUCAUCAUGCCCCUUAUGAUUUGGGCUACACACGUGCUACAAUGGACAAUACAAAGGGCAGCUAAACCGCGAGGUCAUGCAAAUCCCAUAAAGUUGUUCUCAGUUCGGAUUGUAGUCUGCAACUCGACUACAUGAAGCUGGAAUCGCUAGUAAUCGUAGAUCAGCAUGCUACGGUGAAUACGUUCCCGGGUCUUGUACACACCGCCCGUCACACCACGAGAGUUUGUAACACCCGAAGCCGGUGGAGUAACCAUUUAUGGAGCUAGCCUC
This 1419-nucleotide ribosomal RNA is filed under the name Staphylococcus saprophyticus. RNAcentral describes it as "bacterial SSU rRNA". It matches the Rfam family "Bacterial small subunit ribosomal RNA". The record is from RNAcentral. Lineage: Bacteria; Bacillati; Bacillota; Bacilli; Caryophanales; Staphylococcaceae.